GAACAGAGGAGAUAACGAGAUCAAGGCACGAGAUCAACACUAAAGGAGUUAAGAGACUCCCCUCCUGAAGCCUGGACUUAGUCACUUAACAGGUGAGGCAUUCUCUGACCCUAUGAUGGUAGGUUAUCUAAUAGAUCAUUAAACAGGGGAAACGUAUGGCUGUUUCUCUGGCUAAUGAUUAGCUUGGUGGCUUUGUUAACCAAGACAGAAUGAUGAAUGAUGCCUGAAUACCAUGGUUCAUAAUGAGCUUGGUUGUAAAAUAAAAAUUGUGGCAGCAAAAUGGAUUAGCAGUGGUUAGGCACAAUUAUGGGUGACAUACUUGCCUACACGGAGUCUUUAAUUUUAUGGCAUGAUGUUGGCAAAACGGCUUAGAGCUCCAGUGAAGUAAAUGAUUGAUCUUUCAAGCAUGCAUCUGGAGUUAACUGGAGUUAAAAGGAGCGUUUGUUGAGCAGAAACUCCAGCAUUGCCUCAUAAAGUCUUCCCUUCUUCUUUCACUCUCUCAUUCAGUCUCUCGUUCUAGUUUCGCAGCAGAGCAAGUCCUGUCAUGUCAGGUGUGUUAUCAUCGGAGUACGCAGUUAUCUGUCUCGGCCUCGUUUCCUGACUGAGGAUACAGGAAACAGAGCAGACAGGGAACGGAUGGUGCACCAGACCCCAGCCAGACAAGAAGACGAGACCAUUUCAAUGAUGACACCUUCCAUUUAAACCAUUGCCGUCAAAACACUGACUCCUCCACAUAG
Clupea harengus (Atlantic herring) is the source of this 737-nucleotide long non-coding RNA. RefSeq lists it as uncharacterized. The record is from RefSeq and is a predicted model, not a curated record. Lineage: Eukaryota; Metazoa; Chordata; Actinopteri; Clupeiformes; Clupeidae. The transcript is spliced from 2 exons.